UGGCAGGUUCCUGGUGAUCAUAGCGUGGCU
RNAcentral lists this non-coding RNA (30 nucleotides) under Mus musculus (house mouse). Lineage: Eukaryota; Metazoa; Chordata; Mammalia; Rodentia; Muridae. The record is from RNAcentral.